AGAAAGUUAGUCUAACUAAGACAGUUGAUUUCGACUCAACAAACCAUAGCCCGACUCUAUGACUUUCUC
Molecule: transfer RNA, 69 nt
Filed under: Phaethon rubricauda (red-tailed tropicbird)
Lineage: Eukaryota; Metazoa; Chordata; Aves; Phaethontiformes; Phaethontidae
Description: tRNA-Arg
Source: RNAcentral